AUCUAAAUAGUUUAAUUAAAAUAGUAGUUUGUGAUACUACAGUUAUAGAUAUUUAUUUUAGAUU
RNAcentral lists this transfer RNA (64 nucleotides) under Gastrolina depressa. RNAcentral's name for it is "tRNA-His". The record is from RNAcentral. Lineage: Eukaryota; Metazoa; Arthropoda; Insecta; Coleoptera; Chrysomelidae.